CAAUAGCGUAUAUUAAAGUUGUUGCGGUUAAAAAGCUCGUAGUUGGAUUUCUGCCGAGGACGACCGGUCCGCCCUCCGGGUGAGUAUCUGGUUUGGCCUGGGCAUCUUCUUGGAGAACGUAGCUGCACUUGACUGUGUGGUGCGGUGUCCAGGACUUUUACUUUGAGGAAAUUAGAGUGUUUCAAGCAGGCACACGCCUUGAAUACAUUAGCAUGGAAUAAUAAGAUAGGACCUCGGUUCUAUUUUGUUGGUUUCUAGAGCUGAGGUAAUGAUUAAUAGGGAUAGUUGGGGGCAUUCGUAUUUAACUGUCAGAGGUGAAAUUCUUGGAUUUGUUAAAGACGGACUGCUGCGAAAGCAUUUGCCAAGGAUGUUUUCAUUGA
RNAcentral lists this ribosomal RNA (380 nucleotides) under uncultured eukaryote. Its description in RNAcentral is "partial 18S ribosomal RNA". It matches the Rfam family "Eukaryotic small subunit ribosomal RNA", at positions 592 to 976 of the family's 1831-position model. The record is from RNAcentral.